CGAACGGGUGAGUAACACGUGGGCAACCUGCCCAAAAGAGGGGGAGUAACACUUGGAAACAGGUGCUAAUACCGCAUAACCAUAGUUACCGCAUGGUAGCUAUGUAAAAGGUGGCUAUGCUACCGCUUUUGGAUGGGCCCGCGGCGCAUUAGCUAGUUGGUGGGGUAAAGGCUUACCAAGGCAAUGAUGCGUAGCCGAACUGAGAGGUUGAUCGGCCACAUUGGGACUGAGACACGGCCCAAACUCCUACGGGAGGCAGCAG
Molecule: ribosomal RNA, 262 nt
Filed under: uncultured bacterium
Lineage: Bacteria
Description: partial 16S ribosomal RNA
Rfam family: Bacterial small subunit ribosomal RNA
Source: RNAcentral